GUGAAGUGUUGGGUCAAGUCCCGCAACGAGCGCAACCCUAUCAUCUGUUGCCAGCAUUUAAGGUGGGGACUCAGAUGAGACUGCCGGUGACAAACCGGAGGAAGGUGGGGACGACGUCAAGUCAUCAUGGCCCUUAUGUCCUGGGCUACACACGUGCUACAAUGGCCGGUACAGAGUGAAGCGAAACCGCGAGGUGAAGCAAAACGCAGAAAGCCGGUCUCAGUACGGAUUGGAGUCUGAAACUCGACUUCAUGAAGUUGGAAUCGCUAGUAAUCGCGCAUCAGCAUGGCGCGGUGAAUACGUUCCCGGGCCUU
This 314-nucleotide ribosomal RNA is filed under the name uncultured Spirochaeta sp. RNAcentral's name for it is "bacterial SSU rRNA". It matches the Rfam family "Bacterial small subunit ribosomal RNA", at positions 1067 to 1382 of the family's 1533-position model. The record is from RNAcentral. Lineage: Bacteria; Pseudomonadati; Spirochaetota; Spirochaetia; Spirochaetales; Spirochaetaceae.